CGCAUCUGUGCAUGCAGCAUAUCAAUAAGCGGAGGAAAAGAAACUAACAAGGAUUCCCUCAGUAACGGCGAGUGAAGCGGGAAGAGCUCAAAUUUGAAAUCUUGAAAGGUCACCUUUCACGAAUUGUAGUUUAAAGAAGUGUUUUCUGUUACGAUCGUAAUAUAAGUUCUUUGGAAUAGGACAUCACUAGAGGGUGAGAAUCCCGUCUAUGAUUGCGAUUUGUAACUUUGUGAUACACUUUCAAAGAGUCGGGUUGUUUGGGAAUGCAGCCCAAAACGGGAGGUAAAUUUCAUUCUAAGGCUAAAUAUUGGCGAGAGACCGAUAGCGAACAAGUACCGUGAGGGAAAGAUGAAAAGAACUUUGAAAAGAGAGUUAAAUAGUACGUGAAAUUGUCAAAAGGGAAGCGUUUAACACCAGUGUUGUUUUCUGAAAAUCAACCUCUGUUAGCUUUAUGCAUGUUUGUUUAGACCUAAUCAGCUAUCUUGCAUGUUCUAUUGUUUGCAGUGGUGCAGCUUUUCAGUUUACAGGUCAACAUCAGUUUUUUUUACCGUAAAAAAGUUAAAGAAAGGUAGCUCAUGGCUCCGGUCGUGAGUGUUAUAGUCUUUUUCCUAUGCGGUAGGAGAGACUGAGGUCUGCAGUGUAGGCUAUUUGGCUAGAUACUCAGGUGCUAUGUGAUACCAUUUCAUAAACAACUUGUUGAUUAUGUUUUGUCUAUUGCAUACUCGCUUGUACUAUCAUACCUACGCUUAGGAUGUUGAAGUCAUCGUAUCGCGC
Molecule: ribosomal RNA, 774 nt
Filed under: uncultured Neocallimastigales
Lineage: Eukaryota; Fungi; Neocallimastigomycota; Neocallimastigomycetes; Neocallimastigales
Description: partial large subunit ribosomal RNA
Rfam family: Eukaryotic large subunit ribosomal RNA
Source: RNAcentral